RNAcentral lists this long non-coding RNA (12269 nucleotides) under Salmo salar (Atlantic salmon). RNAcentral's name for it is "lncRNA (ENSSSAG00000097866.1)". Lineage: Eukaryota; Metazoa; Chordata; Actinopteri; Salmoniformes; Salmonidae. The record is from RNAcentral.
CUUCUGUGUGUUCAGUACUUCAGCAGUAUGUAACCAAAGAAUAAACUCGAUUCAGUAAGUAAACUGGGCCAAACCAUUGCUCUGACCUCAAUGAUGGCACUUCCUAGUUAAAUGAAGGUUAACUAAAAAUACUGUAGAUGCCAGGUCUGUGUGGUGAAUAUUCAUCAGAUCAGGGUGAGGAUGAUGAUGAAGAGAGACUGAAAGUAAAUGAGAGGAAAGUUGAGCAUGGCAUUCCAUUACACAUUAGAGGGAAAAAAUGUAAUUCCUCUGUUUAACUUUGUUGUGCAUAGUCACUUCUCUCACCUUUCCUUCCCAUUGCCAAUGGAAGUGUUUUUUAUUCUGCCAAGGAACAAACACACACUAGGGAGGGAAACCGCGUACCCCUUCCCACCUCUAUUCUACUCAAACCUCCUAAUUCCGGCUCCUCCACCAUUGCAACUCAGCAAAUAUAGCGAGACACCAAGAAGGCAAAUGUUUCAGCACCAUGGACAGAGGUGAAAGGAGGAUUCUGAGAGCUGGCAUUCAGCACCACUGGACAGUGGACAGCAGCCAUCUCAGGUGAAGCUUCUCCAAUACACCACUUUUGAUCAGGGCCCAUAGGACUCUGGUCAAAAGUAGUGCACUAUGUAGGGAAUAAGGUGUCAUUUGGGACACCACCCUUGACACUGCAUCUACAUCCUACUUAUGGAGAGUCACUGGAUUUUGCCCCUGUGGAGUAUAUAGUUGUCAGGGCAUGGCUGGCGUGUGAAUGAGAAAGGUCUGUUAGCGACUCAGGACACGAGAAAGGUGAGAAUGGACGGAGAAUGUGUGUGUGUGUGCCUGUGUGUGUGUGAGGGCGUGUGUGUGUGUGGACCAGAAUGUCCUUACAAGUGACAAGAAUGUCCUGACAACAUAGAAAAACAAGAACAAUUCAGAAACCACUUAGCAUGUCCUGAAAAGUAAAAAUUAUAUUUUAGGUUUAAGGGUUAGGUUAAAGUUUUGGGGUUAAGCUUGGGGUUAAGGUUAGGGUUAAGGUUAGGGGUUUGGGUUAAUGUUAGGGUUAGGGUAAGGGUGAGGAUAAGGGUUAAGUUAGGUUUAGGUUUAGGGUUAGGGGUUCAGGAAAAUAGGAUUUUGAAUGGGAAUACAUUAUUACUCCCCAAAAUGUCCUGACAAGUAAAGAAAACAUAGUUGUGUGUGAGUGCAUGUGUGCGUGUGCGUAUACUGUAUGAAGUGGAUUCACACCUCAGGGCCUGGGGGAGGGGAUGUGGGGAUGAGAGGAGAGUAAGGAGAGUGGGAUGGGGUCAGAAGAUGGAGGGGAAAACAAAGGGAGUGAAAUGACCUUGUGCCUCACUGUGGUGACACUGGAUGAAAAGGGUCCAUAGCAGCAGAUAACAAGAAUCCCGUCUUUUCUGCUGUGUUCUAACUGUAAUUUUGAAUUUGGAUGUCACACAUGAGUGUGGAAACAGUGUGGUCGAACUGACAACUGGAGAAACAAGGGAGUGAGAAGCUGUUCAGAAAAUACCUCAAAGAAGAUAAUGCUAAAGGGAGUAGCUAACUCUAUAUGUUUUAUUUAGCUUAAUAACUAGAAUCAAGAAUGUUAGCUAAUUUGGCCAGAAGCCAGUAGGGCUAGCUAGCUAGACUUGAUGGGGGGAAAAAGCUAACUUCCUUUCAGACAAAUAAACGUUUACCCCCUUUCCAGCCUCAAGGUGACAGCUAACAUUUUAAAACGUUCAUGCGUAUUUUGUUUUCAUGGUUAAUAUAAGCUAACCAGCAACCUAAUUAACUAGCAACUUGACUAGCUACCCAACUAAUAAUUUUAGGGAGAGAGAACAUUUUUGAAAUGUUACACAUAAAGUUCCCCUAAUGUUUAUUUGGGACCACCAGGCGACGUUCUGAUACACUGAAAUGCUCCUGCGACAUUAGCAUGAAACAUGUCUAGAAUAUUAUCUUAUAUUCUGAGAACAUGGCAACCAUGUUCUGUAUAUGUUUAGUGUGAUGUUGAUGGAAUAUUCAACCAACACUCAGAAAACUUGACACAUGAAUGUUCUUGCAACAUUCCCAAAGUUGUGGGAAUGUUUGUUAUUAGCUGGGUAGCUAGUUCCAAUUAGUUUUCUUGUCAUGAAUGAAGCAGGUAGAGUAGCUACGUUGUGGUAUGGCUAUGUGAAAUGACAAUAUUUCUUGCAAUAUCAACACAAUUUGGAUUAAUGAUUUACACAUUGACAGUUUGGAGUGGAUCACAGACCAACACCCCACUGGUCACACUGGUUUAACCAACAUUGUUUCCACAUCAUUUCAAUGAAAUUACAUUGAACCAAUACGGAAUAGACGUUGAAUUGAAACCUAGUACUGCCAUGCAAUUAAUUAUUUUAUUAGGGUUGUCAAAACAUUUUAGUCCCUAGCCUAUUUCUUCAAAGUUUUUAGCUUGUAGGUAAAGUCUUCGUAUGAGAAUUGCACAGGGAUAGCCCUCUCAGAGAGCGGCCACUUGUUGGACUAUUCAAGGAGAGUUGGGGUGAAGCAUUAGGUUGCUAUUAAAACAAAUUGAAUUGCUUUCAUGGAGGAUCGGCUUGAAUUGUGAGGAUGACCACACAAUUAAUUGUAUUUAUAAGGGCACAGGGCGAGACCCAGAUGCAGACACGGGAGGUAGAUGGUUGGAGUCUCUGAUAUUUAUUGUAAUCCAAGGGGCAGGCAAGAGAAUGGUCAUGGACAGGCAAAACAUCAUAAACAAGGUCAGAGUCCAGGAGGAUGGCUGGGAAAGGAUGGCCCCUACUCCCAUGUCGGAAGCGUCAACCUCAACCACAAACUGACGAGUCGGUCCGGAUGGAUGAGGAUGGGGGCAGUAGGGAAUCGCUGCUUUAUAUCCCCAAAAACCUUGUCCGCUGCUGGAGACCAUGUGAACGGUACCUUGGGAGAGGUGAGUGCAGAGAGGGGGGGGGGCCCCAGGUUGCUGUAGCCCCGAAUGAAACGGCGGUAGAAAUUAGCAAACCACCGAAAAUGUUGUAGCUGCACCCUGGAUGUGGGCUGGGGCCAGUCCACCACCGCUCUCACCUUUUCUGGAUCCAUCUGAACAUUCCCUUCAGCGAUGAAGUAUCCUAGAAAGGAGAUAGUGGAGCGGUGGAACUCACACUUCUCAGCUUUUACAAACAACUGAUUUUCCAGGAGGUGCGGUCAAACAUGGAGAAUGUGUUCCUGGGCAGAACGAGAGAACCAGGAUAUCGUCGAGGUAGACAAAAACAAAACGAUUCAAUGUCCCGGAGCACAUCGUUGAGCAGGGCCUGGAAGACAGUUGGUGAGUCCAACCCAGGAUUAAACCCGUGGUCCAGUCAAUAUCGGGGUUGUGCUUCUGGAGCCAAGAAAAUCACAAAACAAUAGGGAUGUGGGGAGACUCAAUGAGGAGAAGCUAUAUUGACUCACUGUGGUUUCCAGAUACCCACAUAUUAGGCUGUACAAACCCACCACUAAUAGUAAAAAGUUGCUGGGUGGUUGGGCAGUCUCAGAGGUGGCUGCGAUGGUCAAAACCCGGGAGGACUAGCAAAAGAGAGAUAAGAAAAAACAGGCGCAUGGAAAAGCACUCUGGUAGACUUGACAAGACUAACUGGAACACUAGAAUAAAUACCUAGGGACUAAUGGGGAAAACGGGUGACACCUGGAGGUGGGUGGAGACAAUCACAAAGACAGGUGAAACAGAUCAGGUCGUGACAUUAAUAAUAAGACAAAUCUAUUGGUUUUCUACCCAAAGUUGCAAAGGAAAUGUUGUGAUCCAUUUAAUAAACACAAGAGACCAGCAAAAUGUAUAAAAGAGUGUGGAUGUCACGUCCUGACCAGCAGAGGGAGUAGUUGUUUAGUAAUUUGGUCAGGACGUGGCAGAGGGAUGUUUGUUUUGUAUGGUGGGGGUUUGUGUGUGUUGUAGAGGGGUGUUUGAUUUAUGUCUUCCUGGGUUUUGGGUGUAUGUUCUAGGUUAGUAUGUUCUAGGUUGUAUUUCUGCAUUCUGUCUAGUUUAGGUUUUCUAUGUUUAGGUUUGGGUGCUGGACUCUCAAUUGGAGGCAGGUGUUUCUCGUUGCCUCUGAUUGAGAGUCCUAUAUAUGGGUAAUUGUUUGGUUUAGUGUUUGUGGGAGAUUGUCUCUUGUUUUGCGUGUGUGAGCCUGACAAGACUGUUUUGUUGUUCGUGAGUUCUUCGUAUUUUGGUGUUUUCUUGACUUAAAAUAAAUAUAAGAUGAGCAUCCACAUUCCUGCUGCGUUUUGGUCCUCCAUUCCCGACGACAACCGUUACAGUGGGGGUAUAGCAGGAACAGUGGCAUCUAGUGGUAAAAAUAUGGUACUUUCACAAUACUUUUUGGUAAAUAAUGUAAGUGACUUGAAUUAGCUUAAUUUCUCAGAGUUCAAAUUCUACUUCAACAAAAUAAUUUUACUAGCUUCAGAAACGAUUUCAGAACAAUUUGAGAUGGUGGGUGUCGAAAUCCUCUUUCUUGUGUUUGAGGUGGCACCUACCAACAUACCCCGUUCAAAGGCACAAUAUCUUUUGUCUUUCCCAUUCACCCUCUGAAUGGCAUACAUAGACAAUCCAGUGCAGGCCACCGCCGGAGGCUCCGGGAUGCAGGCCGCCGCCGGAGGCUCCGGGCUGCAGGCCGCCUCAGGAGGUUCCGGGCUGCAGGCCGCCUCAGGAGGUUCUGGGCUGCAGGCCGCCAGAGGAAGUUCCAGGCUGCAGGCCGUCGCUGGAGGUUCCGGACUGUAGGGCGUCACUGGAGGCUCCAGAUUGGGAGCGUCGCUGGAGGCUCCGGACUGGGGAGCGUCGCUGGAGGCUCCGGACUGGGGAGCGUCGCUGGACGUUCCGGCCCGGGGACCGUCGCUGCAGUCUCCGUGCCAUGGAUCAUCACUACAGGUUCCGCGCCAUAGAUCAUCACCAGAGGCUUCUUUCGUGGAGCUGGAACAGGUCUCACUGGACUGGGGAGAUGCACUGGAGACCGGGUGCGUAGAGCUGGCACAGGGUAUACUGGGCCGUGGAAGUGCACUGGAGGGAGAGUGCGAGGAGGAGGCACAUGCUCACCACGAUAAGCACGGGGAGUUGACUCAGGUCUCAACGCUGACUCCGCCAAUCUACCCAUGUGCCCCACCCCCCCUCCCCAAAAUGUUGGGGCUGCCUCUCGUGCUUCCCCGGCAGGCUUCUGUAUCUCUCCAAUACUUUCCCCCAAGUCCAGUCUAUCCUCUCUCGCAACUCCUCCAGAGACCAGGAAUCCAUCUCCUCCCGGGCACGCUGCUUGAUCCAGUUGUGGUGGGUAGUUCUGUAACGCUCGUCAAAAGGAGUAGACCAAGAUGCAGCGUGGCACGUGUUCAUGAUCUUUUAUUAGAAUCUAACAAACACUCAAACAAAAAAUAACAAAGGGAAAACGAAAGCGCACAGUUCUGUCAGGUACAGAAAACUAAACAGAAAACAACUACCCACAAACACAGGUGGAGAAAAACCCUACUUAAGUAUGAUCUCCAAUUAGAGACAACGAGGACCAGCUGCCUCUAAUUAGAAAUAGAACACUAGAACCUAAACAUAGAAAUACAAAACAUAGAAAAACACCCCCUGUCACACCCUGACCACUCUACCAUAGAAAAUAACAGCUUACCAUGGUCAGGACGUGACACAUUGGCUCAUAAAAGUACCCUUUAACUUCCUUCAUACUGGACACAGAGACAUACAAAUGGUAUGUACGAGUUCAUCUGACUCUGUGGAAGUAGUCCCGGAUCCAGGAUGACCCGGGCAGGCACCCCCGCCCGCUAAUCGGGGUCGUAGCCCUCCCAGUCCACCAGGUACUGCAGGGUGCCUCGAUCCCAACUGAGGGGGGGGGGCGAACCCGAACUGACACUUAAACGGCGACAGUCCAGUGGACGAGUUCGGCAGUAUGUGUUGUGAGCAUACUCCACCCAGACGAGGAACUUGCUCCAGUUGCUGGCCUGAGUGGAGACGAAACAGUGGAGGAACUUCUCCAGCUCCUGGUUGGCCCGCUCCGUUUGCCCAUUUGACUGUGGGUGGAAUCCCGAGGAGAGACUCACGACGCCCCCAACAGGGAGCAGAAGGCUUUCCAAUACCGUGCGAUGAACUGGGGCCCACGAUCCGAGACAAUGUUCUGGGAAAGUCUGUGUAGUUGAAAGACAUGGGUAAUCAUGAGAUCAGAGGUCUCCUUCAAUGAGGGCAACUUGGGUAAGGCAAUGAAAUGGGCUACCUUGGAGAAUGGAUCAACAACCAUCAGGAUACUGGUAAGCCCUUGUGAUGGAGGUAACUCUGUGAUAGUCUAUGGACAGGUGGGACCAGGGCCGGCUGUGGAUGGGCAGAGGUUGGAGCAACCCAGCCCGUCGCUGUAGUGAAGACUUGCUUUAGGCACAGGUGGAACAGGCCACAGCAAAGGAUCUCACAUCCUCAAUAAUAUUGGGCCACCAGAAUUUCCACCUCAGGAACUCCAGUGUCCGAUUAACUUCUAUGGGAAACGUAGGACGUGAGCGUCCCACUCUAUUUAACAGCCAGUGGAAGACCGUGGCGCGAAAUACAAAAACCUUAAAUAUGCUAUAACUUCAAUUUCUCAAACAUAUUACUAUUUUACACCAUUUGAAAGACAAGACUCUGGUUAAUCCAACCACAUUGUCCGAUUUCAAAAAGGCAUUACAGCGAAAGCAAAACAUUAGAUUAUGUCAGGAGAGUACCCAGCCAGAAAUAAUCACACAGCCAUUUUCAAAGCAAGCAUAUAUGUCACAAAAAAACAAACCACAGCUAAAUGCAGCACUAACCUUUGAUGAUCUUCAUCAGAUGACACUCCUAGGACAUUAUGUUAUACAAUACAUGCAUGUGAUGUUUAGAACUAUCAUACCCACCCAAAAAUUCCAGUGAAUUUACUAAAUUACUCAGCAUAAACAUUUACAAAAUACAUAACAAUUAUUUUAAGAAUUAUAGAUACAGAACUCCUUUAUGCAAUCGCGGUGUCAGAUUUUAAAAUAGCUUUUCGGCAAAAGCACAUUUUGCAAUAUUCUGAGUGCAUAGCUCGGCCAUCACGGCUAGCUAUUCAGACACUCGCCAACGUCGAGGCUCAGUAAACUCAGAAUUACUAUUACAAAAAUUGGAUUACCUUUGCUGUUCUUCGUCAGAAUGCACUCCCAGGACUUCUACUUCAACAACAAAUGUUGUUUUGGUUCCAAAAAAUCCAUAGUUAAAUUCAAAUAGCUCCGUUUUGUUCGUGCGUUCAGGUCACUAUCCAAAGGGUGACGCGCGGGCGCAUUUCGUGACAACAAAUUUCAAAAUGUUCCUUUACCGUACUUAGAAGCAUGUCAAACGCUGUUUAAAAUACAUUUUUAUGCGAUGUUUCUCGUAAAAUAGCGAUAAUAUUCCAACUGGACAACUUUGUAUUCAUUCAAACAGAGAAAGAAAAACAUGGUGGUCUCUCAUGACCGCGCAUUUCCAGGCUCUGAGCCACCAAGCUGACCACUCACAAACACCAAGCUGACCACUAUGCAUCCUGAACCUUGCCCAGAGACAGCAGACGCCGCAAUCCACUUUCUGGCGCCUUCAGAGAGCCAAUGGAAGCCUUAGAACGUGUCACGUAACCCCAAAGAUACUGUAUUUUUGAUAGAGAUGCAACAGUUGGACCACAAAUUGUCAGACAGGCCACUUCCUGCUUGUAAUCUUCUCAGGUUUUUGGCUGCCAUAUGAGUUCUGUUAUACUCACAGACACCAUUCAAACAGUUUUAGAAACUUUCGAGUGUGUUCUAUCCAAUAUACUAAUUAUAUGCAUAUUCUCAUUUCUGGAAAAGAGUAGUAACCAGUUUAAAUCGGGUACAUUUUUUAUCCGGCCGUGAAAAUACUGCCCCCUUGCCCCAACAGGUUAACCCCUGGAUGCCCAGUUAAUUUAGAGGAGUGUCCCCAUUGUAGUACUCGGGAACGGGUUGAUCGCGGAACGUAAAGUCUGUUAGUGGGUCCCCCGCCGGGGUCAGGUUCUCAGGUCUGGGCUUGUUGGACCAUGGUCUCAAUACCCCAUAUCACAGGGGCCACAAUGCGGGAGCUGGGGAUGAUGGGCUCGGAGUCCCUCUCCUAAUUAGAGACAUUGAGGCGGGACGGGGCGUCUGCUUUCUGAUUCUUGGAUCCCGGGCGAUAGGCUUGUGUGAAAUCGAACCUGUUAAAAAUCAGAGCCCACCUAGCCUGGCAAGCGUUCAACCUCUUGGCUUUUUGAAUGGAGAACAAGUUCUUAUGGUCCAUCCAGAUUACAAAAGGAUGAGGUGCCCCCUCCAACCAGUGUCUCCACCCCUCAAGGGCCCACUUAACUGCCAAGAGCUCCCGGUUGCCUACAUCGUAGUUGCGUUCCACUAUGAGUACCAAAUUCUUGUCCUCCUCGUUCCUCUGUGAAAGGACCACCCCUGCUCCGGUGUCCAAGGUGUCCACCUCUACCACAGGAUGUACGAGGAUGUGUCCAGUGGUGAAACAUCCCUUGAGUUCCAUGAAUGCACUGUCAGCCUCGGGAGUCCAGAAAAAACGGGUCUGGGAAUGCGGGUUAGGACCGUGAGAGGCGCGCUGCGUAUAAAACGGCUGUAAAAAUUGGUAAACCCAAGGAACCGCUGGACCUGCUUGAGUUUGGUGAAACGGAGCCAGCCGGCGACCACCUCAACCUUUACGGGGUACAUUUGGAUGACUGAGAUAAUGUGACCCAGGAAGAAAACUUGGGAUUCAUAGUAGAAGGAUGAUUGAAACCUGCCUCCAGCAACUCCCGGAUGUCCAUGACUGCUGCUUCAGGGGUCAAGGGAGAGUACAUACGGCUCCGGGGAUGUAUGGGUUAUGUAGCUCUAGCCAGGGGUACCCUAGGAUAAGGGGGUUCUCCGGAGCAGUGAUCAAAAGAAAACUAAGAGUCUGAGUGAUUCACCCCAACCUGCAGUAGAACGGGCUUGGUCUGAUAUUCCACCUGACCGAAGCCAAUUGGCCGUCCAUCGAGGUCUUGAAUCUGCAGAGGCAUGGGACACUUCACACAGGGGAUGUGUAAUUCUCUGGUAAAGUCCUGAUCAAUUAAAUUAUCUGUGGCCCCAGAGUCCAUGAAGGCUUGAAUCUGGCGCAGACGGUUGUCCCAGUGGAGGGUUGCGGGUAGUGACAGACGGUGACUGGGUAACCGGGAGGUAACUGCACAGCUCGUCAGGGUCUCCCCUUGUCCUGGCGAGCCCUGGCAUUUUCCCGUCAACUCUGGGCAUGUAGAACGGAGAUGCCCAAGACCUCCGCAGUAGAGGCAGCAGUUACAUUCCUUUGGGCUCAGACGUGUGCAUCCCAGCUGCCUGGACUCCCAAUGCUGGGCUCGGGGUGCGUGGGGUGCUCCGGAAACCGGGAUAUGGGGGUGGUGUCAAAAAGGGGCUGUCUCACACGUUCUCAGAUGCGGUUGUCAACCUGAUGGCCAGCGUUAUCAGGGACUCGAGGUCCUUUCCCAGUUUCCAAGUGGCCAGUUCAUCCUUGAUGGAGUAAGCCAGAGAGCGGUGACCAGUGCCUCAGUAUUCCACCCACUCUCAGUGGCGAGGGUGCGGAACUCUAUGGCGAAGUCAGCCACUGGUCUGGCCCCUUGGCGGAGGUUGAACAGUUGGCUUGCCGCUUCUGGUCCGCCAACUAGGUGGUUGAAGACUUGGAAGUAAACUCUAAUAUGGAGCUGAAGGAUGGUAGCUGCUGUUCCCACCCCAUCGUUGCCAAAGCCAGGGUCUUGCCCAAGAGUAGACUGAUGAUGUAGGCGAUCAUGGCCCGAUCGGUGUGGAACGAGGAGGACUGUAGCUCGAACACCAGAGAACACUGAGUGAGGAACCCAUUGCAUCCUCCCGGGUGGCCUUCACACCGCUCGGGGGCUGGAGUUCGCUGGAGGAACUUCGGCGACGCCUGUAACACUGGGCGAUGAGACUUGGGCAUUGUCUACUCCUGGGUUAGGGUUGGGCCGUGGUUGGAGGGAAUCAGUAAGUGUCCAGAGAGUCUCUGAUAUUUGGGAGUUGUUCUUGCUGCCGCCCCAGCAGUGCUCUUUGUUGGGUCAUAGCAUUCUGGAUCUGGGUGAUCUCUGCUGGGUCCAUGUUGAGGCAGAUUAUAGCUGUGACAUGGUAAGGUUGGACCCAGGUGCAGAGAAGGGACCAGAUGAGGAAUCAGUGGUUAAGGAUAAACAUGAUACUUUACUGAGAAACGGUAGCAGCAGGUUCAGAGUACACUAGAAAAAACAACAAACAGACAACAGAAAACACACUUCUUUUAACAGGGAAAUCAUAAUGAGUAAAUUGGACACACCUGAGUUUCGUUAAUGUCUCUAGGACGGUCUUGGUUGCCUUCUGGUGACAGAUGGAACCAUGACACUUAUUGCCAAAAUCCCAAAGUUUCCCUUGAACAAUUUCCAAUUAAAAAUGUAGAGAAACACAUUUACACAAAGAAUAGAGCAGAUGUAAAGUUUGGUAAUAAAAUGACAGCAAAAUCUCACUCAGCAUUUUAUGUGACCACGUUUUCUACUCCGAAUUAAGAUUUGAAGAUGUCUGCAGAAAGAAUGGGGUGUCAGCUAUGACAUGACACCUUGAGUUUGAAAAAAUCUAUUUUGGUUAUUGAACUACAAUAAGUGAAGUGGAUUAACACCCAAUAACAGAGUGAUGGUAACAGAAUGUCAUCAUGGGUGCCUGAUCUGUACUACACAUAAAGGCCUAAUUAUUAAUGUUAUUCUCUUUGUUUUGUUUUUCUUUUACCUUUUAUUUAACUAGACAAGUCAGUUAAGAACAAAUUCUUAUUUACAAUGACGGCCUACCCCAGCCAAACUCGGACAACGCUGGGCCAAUUGUGAGCCGCCCUAUGGGACUCCCAAUCACAGCCGGAUGUGAUGCAGCCUGGAUUCAAACCAGGUACUGCAGUGACGCUUCUUGUACUGAGAUGCUGUGUCUUAGACCACAUCGCCACUCGGGAGCCCCUUUGCAUGUUUGGGUAUUAUUCUACUCACUGGCUAUUAUUCUAAUGAGGUCCGCCCGGAAACCCGUCAAAAUGUGGUUGAUCCGGACCGCACCAAAUCUGUACCAGUCAUAGAUGUCUACAGUAUGUUUCACAAAUUUGGACAUCACAGUACAGCACUGUAGAGCACAGUAGAGUACAGCACAGUACAGUAGAGUAUAGUUCAAUACAGUACAGUAGAGUUAAGUUUAGUACAGUACAAUAGUAUUACAGUGGGACUGUUGUACAGUGCCCUCUGUAAUUAUUGUGACAGCGAAGCAUUACAUUUUUUUGUCUCUAUACUUCAAAAGUUUGGAUUUGAAAUCAAACAAUGACUUUGAGGUUAAAGUGCAGACUGUCAGCUUUAAUUUUAGGGUAUUUUCAUAUGCGGUGAACUAUUUAGAAUUUACAGCACUUUUUGUACAUAGUCCCCCCAUAUUAGGCCACCAAAAGUAUUGGGACAAAUUCACUUAUUUGUGUAUUAAAGUAGUACAAAGUAAAGUAUUUGGUCCCAUAUUCACAGCACGCAAUGACUACAAGCUUUUGACUGUAAACAUUUUUUGGAUGCAUUUGCUGAUUGUUUUUGGUUGUGUUUCAGAUUAUUUUGUGCCCAAUAGAAGUUAAUGGUAAAUAAUGUAUUGUGUCAUUUUGGAGUAAUUUUUAUUGUAAAUAAGAAUAUAAUACAUUAAUGUGGAUGCUAAGAUGAUCAAGAAUAAUCCUGAAUGAAUCGUGAAUAAUGUUAAGUGAGAAAGUUACAGACGCACAAAUAUCAUACAGACAUUCUAACACUCCAACCAGUCACUGAUCAGUGUCUGUGCAGUUACUGUACUGUAUUGUACUGACCUAUACUUUUCUUUACUGUACUGCACUGUGUUCGACUGUACUGUUGUGUGCUAUCUAAACUUGUGAAACAGACAUCUAUGAUUGCUUCACUGACCAAAUUUCAACUACUUUUCAACAUUCAAUGGAAGUCCUUUCGGUGCUCAGUGGGUGAGGGGGCUGGUUACGGUAAAUGGAAAGAGAGGGGGCUAAUGGGUAGGUGUCAGUAAGAGCCGAGAGAGGUGACAUUAACUGGAGAGAGGGAGAAGAGAGGCCGGGAGAGAGAGAGGUAGGGUUGUCCAGACUGUUUUCACACUUGUUUUGGCAACCACAUGACAGAAAGAGAAAGGAAACUGUUGUGAGCUGAACAGUGGAAGGGAGGACAGUAGCAGGUGACCCAAUUAUGGUUUGUGACUAGUAAGAAUUCACAUUGUAGCCAAUUCUGUUACAGAUUUUGGGGUCAUUCUGUUACUGAUUUGGUAACAGAAUGAUGCUUUUUAUUCACUUAAUAAAUCAUAAACUAAAUUGUUAUCAG